GAUGAACGCUGGCGGCGUGCCUAAUACAUGCAAGUCGAGCGAACAGAUGGGGAGCUUGCUCCUCUGACGUUAGCGGCGGACGGGUGAGUAACACGUGGAUAACCUACCUAUAAGACUGGGAUAACUUCGGGAAACCGGAGCUAAUACCGGAUAAUAUAUUGAACCGCAUGGUUCAAUAGUGAAAGACGGUUUUGCUGUCACUUAUAGAUGGAUCCGCGCCGCAUUAGCUAGCUGGUAAGGUAACGGCUUACCAAGGCGACGAUGCGUAGCCGACCUGAGAGGGUGAUCGGCCACACUGGAACUGAGACACGGUCCAGACUCCUACGGGAGGCAGCAGUAGGGAAUCUUCCGCAAUGGGCGAAAGCCUGACGGAGCAACGCCGCGUGAGUGAUGAAGGUCUUCGGAUCGUAAAACUCUGUUAUUAGGGAAGAACAAAUGUGUAAGUAACUAUGCACGUCUUGACGGUACCUAAUCAGAAAGCCACGGCUAACUACGUG
Molecule: ribosomal RNA, 497 nt
Filed under: uncultured bacterium
Lineage: Bacteria
Description: partial 16S ribosomal RNA
Rfam family: Bacterial small subunit ribosomal RNA
Source: RNAcentral